Long non-coding RNA from Hibiscus syriacus, 744 nucleotides. RefSeq lists it as uncharacterized. The transcript has 3 exons. Lineage: Eukaryota; Viridiplantae; Streptophyta; Magnoliopsida; Malvales; Malvaceae. The record is from RefSeq and is a predicted model, not a curated record.
UUUUGGCAUUCGAAGCAAGUAAAGGGAAAGGGUGUUGGUUUAAUAAGGGGACAUAAGUCUCAAUAUCAUGCCUUCAUAAUUAUCAUGAUCCGUUUUGUUAAAUUUUGUACAAUGCUUCUAGAAACAACAAUUAAAAUUUGAGAGAGUUCUUAAUCCUUUUAAGAAUAAAUGCAACUGCUUAUUGGCGAAGCCUGUCCAUCCGAUAAAUACUUAUUUCACACCACUUAUCAAUUUAAGUGUUUCUAGUUUCUAUAAUGGUUUAGGGGUUUUGAUACCAUUAAAGUAUGUCCGUCCAUUAAAUAUUUAAAAUAUUUUUUUUAUAAAAAAGAAUUACUUAUUUUCUAUUUGUUGUCAACUUAUUGUGCUUUUCUGUUAUGCCAUUGUCAAUUUGCAUAAACUACUACAACUGCUAUUUGGCUUCUCACUCUUCAAAAUUGGAUAGCUGUCAUGACUUACGAUGUUUUUGUUUAAUUGAACAGAUUACAACCUUCAACAUUUCUAUUGUUGUUCAUGGGACAGUUUCCGAGAGUAACACUUUGUUGCCUGGUGAUUCUGAUCCAUACGCAGUCCCGAAGAGCAUGGGGAUUUUUCGUUUUCUUUAAAGCCCUAAAAGUUUGACCACAAGUUCUGUAGCCCGAAGGAUAGUUACCAAUCAUGAGGCUUACAUGAAACGCAAUGCCAAAAAAGCAGAGAGUGAAAAGAAAUACUAUGAAGAGAAGACUUAUGUUGCAGGAGAGUAGGUAA